UGUGCCGUUAGCUCAGCGGUAGAGCAGCGUACUUGUAAUCCGUUGGCCGCGGGUUCAACCCCCGCACGGCCAACCA
Molecule: transfer RNA, 76 nt
Filed under: Syntrophaceae bacterium
Lineage: Bacteria; Pseudomonadati; Thermodesulfobacteriota; Syntrophia; Syntrophales; Syntrophaceae
Description: tRNA-Thr
Rfam family: tRNA
About the family: Transfer RNA (tRNA) molecules are approximately 80 nucleotides in length. Their secondary structure includes four short double-helical elements and three loops (D, anti-codon, and T loops).
Source: RNAcentral